This 75-nucleotide transfer RNA is filed under the name Candidatus Veblenbacteria bacterium. RNAcentral's name for it is "tRNA-Arg". It matches the Rfam family "tRNA". Rfam says of the family: Transfer RNA (tRNA) molecules are approximately 80 nucleotides in length. Lineage: Bacteria; Candidatus Vebleniibacteriota. The record is from RNAcentral.
GCCCUCGUGGUGAAACGGAUAUCACGGCUGGCUUCGGACCAGCUAUUGGGGGUUCGAAUCCCUCCGGGGGCACCA